This 433-nucleotide ribosomal RNA is filed under the name uncultured bacterium. RNAcentral's name for it is "partial 16S ribosomal RNA". It matches the Rfam family "Bacterial small subunit ribosomal RNA", at positions 29 to 507 of the family's 1533-position model. The record is from RNAcentral.
AACGAACGCUGGCGGCAUGCCUAACACAUGCAAGUCGAACGAGACCUUCGGGUCUAGUGGCGCACGGGUGCGUAACGCGUGGGAACCUGCCCUUAGGUUCGGAAUAACUCCCCGAAAGGGGUCCUAAUACCGGAUAUUGUCUUCGGUCCAAAGUUUUAUCGCCUUUGGAUGGGCCUGCGUUGGAUUAGCUAGUUGGUAGGGUAAAAGCCUACCAAGGCGACGAUCCAUAGCUGGGUUGAGAGGAUGAUCAGCCACACUGGGACUGAGACACGGCCCAGACUCCUACGGGAGGCAGCAGUGGGGAAUAUUGGACAAUGGGCGAAAGCCUGAUCCAGCAAUGCCGCGUGAGUGAUGAAGGCCUUAGGGUUGUAAAGCUCUUUUACCCGGGAUGAUAAUGACAGUACCGGGAGAAUAAGCACCGGCUAACUCCGUG